GCGACAGUAGCUCACUGGUAGAGCCCCCUCUUCGCAUGUGGGGAGACCCGGGUUCGACUCCCGGCUGCUUCC
This is a transfer RNA of Toxocara canis (dog roundworm), 72 nucleotides long. It matches the Rfam family "tRNA". Rfam says of the family: Transfer RNA (tRNA) molecules are approximately 80 nucleotides in length. Their secondary structure includes four short double-helical elements and three loops (D, anti-codon, and T loops). Lineage: Eukaryota; Metazoa; Nematoda; Chromadorea; Rhabditida; Toxocaridae. The record is from Rfam.